UACGAAAGGGGCUAGCGUUGCUCGGAAUCAUUGGGCGUAAAGCGCGCGCAGGUGGUCAUGUAAGUUGAAAGUGAAAGCCCGGGGCUUAACCUCGGAAUUGCUUCCAAAACUGCAUGGCUAGAGAAUGGUAGAGGAUAGUGGAAUUCCCGGUGUAGAGGUGAAAUUCGUAGAUAUCGGGAGGAACACCAGUGGCGAAGGCGGCUAUCUGGGCCAUUUCUGACACUGAGGCGCGAAAGCGUGGGGAGCAAACAGG
RNAcentral lists this ribosomal RNA (253 nucleotides) under uncultured bacterium. RNAcentral describes it as "partial 16S ribosomal RNA". It matches the Rfam family "Bacterial small subunit ribosomal RNA", at positions 524 to 776 of the family's 1533-position model. The record is from RNAcentral.